This 510-nucleotide ribosomal RNA is filed under the name Mesonoemacheilus triangularis. RNAcentral's name for it is "partial large subunit ribosomal RNA". It matches the Rfam family "Bacterial large subunit ribosomal RNA", at positions 1991 to 2640 of the family's 2925-position model. The record is from RNAcentral. Lineage: Eukaryota; Metazoa; Chordata; Actinopteri; Cypriniformes; Nemacheilidae.
UAUGAAUGGCCAAACGAAGGCUUAACUGUCUCCCCCAUCAAGUCAGUGAAAUUGAUCUAUCCGUGCAGAAGCGGGUAUUAAUAUACAAGACGAGAAGACCCUUUGGAGCUUAAGGUACAAACCCACCUACGUUAAACAGCUUAUUAAACAAGCGCAAACCUAAUAUAAUAUGGUAUUUUACCUUCGGUUGGGGCGACCACGGAGAACAAAAAAUCCUCCUAGUGGACUGGGAACUUCCCUAAAACCAAGAAAGACCUUUCCAAGUCACAGAAAAUCUGACCAAACAUGAUCCGGCCAUCCCGGCCGAUCAACGAACCAAGUUACCCUAGGGAUAACAGCGCACUCCCCUCCAAGAGUCCAUAUCGACGAGAGGGUUUACGACCUCGAUGUUGGAUCAAGACAUCCUAAUGGUGCAGCCGCUAUUAAGGGUUCGUUUGUUCAACGAUUAAAGUCCUACGUGAUCUGAUUUUCAUACCGGAUCUGAGGUUCAGACCGGAAGAUCUCUUGAUG